GUGGGGAAUAUUGCACAAUGGGGGAAACCCUGAUGCAGCGACGCCGCGUGAGUGAAGAAGUAUUUCGGUAUGUAAAGCUCUAUCAGCAGGGAAGAAGAUGACGGUACCUGAGUAAGAAGCCCCGGCUAACUACGUGCCAGCAGCCGCGGUAAUACGUAGGGGGCGAGCGUUAUCCGGAUUUACUGGGUGUAAAGGGAGCGUAGACGGCGAUGCAAGUCUGGAGUGAAAACCCAGGGCUCAACCCUGGGAUUGCUUUGGAAACUGUAUAGCUGGAGUGCAGGAGAGGCAGGCGGAAUUCCUAGUGUAGCGGUGAAAUGCGUAGAUAUUAGGAGGAACACCAGUGGCGAAGGCGGCCUGCUGGACUGAGACUGACGUUGAGGCUCGAAGGCGUGGGGAGCAAACAGG
This 405-nucleotide ribosomal RNA is filed under the name uncultured bacterium. RNAcentral's name for it is "bacterial SSU rRNA". It matches the Rfam family "Bacterial small subunit ribosomal RNA", at positions 354 to 776 of the family's 1533-position model. The record is from RNAcentral.